This 250-nucleotide ribosomal RNA is filed under the name uncultured bacterium. Its description in RNAcentral is "partial 16S ribosomal RNA". It matches the Rfam family "Bacterial small subunit ribosomal RNA", at positions 524 to 773 of the family's 1533-position model. The record is from RNAcentral.
UACAGAGGGUGCAAGCGUUAAUCGGAAUUACUGGGCGUAAAGCGUGCGUAGGUGGUUCGUUAAGUCAGGUGUGAAAGCCCGGGGCUCAACCUCGGAACUGCAUUUGAUACUGUCGAGCUGGAGUGUGGUAGAGGAUAGUGGAAUUCCCGGUGUAGCGGUGAAAUGCGUAGAUAUCGGGAGGAACAUCAGUGGCGAAGGCGGCUAUCUGGACCAACACUGACACUGAGGCACGAAAGCGUGGGUAGCAAAC